UGGGGAAUAUUGCGCAAUGGGCGAAAGCCUGACGCAGCGACGCCGCGUGGAGGAUGAAGGCCUUAGGGUCGUAAACUUCUGUUAAGUGGGAAAAAAGAACUAUUGCUAAUACCAAUAGGUGAUGAUGGUACCACUAGAGAAAGCACCGGCUAAUCUCGUGCCAGCAGCCGCGGUAAUACGAGAGGUGCAAGCGUUAUUCGGAAUAAUUGGGCGUAAAGGGCGCGUAGAUGGUAUGUUAAGUUUGUUGUUAAAUCCUUCGGCUCAACUGAAGAUCAGCAACGAAAACUGGCGUGCUAGAGGGUGGAAGAGAGAAGUGGAAUUCUCGGAGUAGCGGUAAAAUGCGUAGAUCUCGAGAGGAACACCAAUGGCGAAGGCAGCUUCUUGGUCCACACCUGACAUUGAGGCGCGAAAGCGUGGGGAGCAAACAGG
RNAcentral lists this ribosomal RNA (429 nucleotides) under uncultured bacterium. Its description in RNAcentral is "bacterial SSU rRNA". It matches the Rfam family "Bacterial small subunit ribosomal RNA", at positions 355 to 776 of the family's 1533-position model. The record is from RNAcentral.